RNAcentral lists this ribosomal RNA (433 nucleotides) under uncultured bacterium. RNAcentral's name for it is "partial 16S ribosomal RNA". It matches the Rfam family "Bacterial small subunit ribosomal RNA", at positions 29 to 507 of the family's 1533-position model. The record is from RNAcentral.
AACGAACGCUGGCGGCAUGCCUAACACAUGCAAGUCGAACGAGACCUUCGGGUCUAGUGGCGCACGGGUGCGUAACGCGUGGGAACCUGCCCUUAGGUUCGGAAUAACUCUCCGAAAGGGGUGCUAAUACCGGAUAAUGUCUUCGGACCAAAGAUUUAUCGCCUUUGGAUGGGCCCGCGUUGGAUUAGCUAGUUGGUAGGGUAAAAGCCUACCAAGGCGACGAUCCAUAGCUGGUCUGAGAGGAUGAUCAGCCACACUGGGACUGAGACACGGCCCAGACUCCUACGGGAAGCAGCAAUGGGGAAUAGUGGACAGUGGGCGGAAGCCUGAUCCAGCAAUGCCGCGUGAGUGAUGAAGGCCUUAGGGUUGUAAAGCUCUUUUACCCGUGAUGAUAAUGACAGUACCGAGAGAAUAAGCUCCGGCUAACUCCGUG